RNAcentral lists this microRNA (22 nucleotides) under Anolis carolinensis (green anole). RNAcentral describes it as "aca-miR-26-2-3p". Its record names the gene aca-miR-26-2-3p. Lineage: Eukaryota; Metazoa; Chordata; Lepidosauria; Squamata; Anolidae. The record is from miRBase by way of RNAcentral.
CCUAUCCUUGAUUACUUGCACU